This 874-nucleotide ribosomal RNA is filed under the name Thermoascus crustaceus. Its description in RNAcentral is "LSU rRNA". It matches the Rfam family "Eukaryotic large subunit ribosomal RNA", at positions 74 to 963 of the family's 3401-position model. Lineage: Eukaryota; Fungi; Ascomycota; Eurotiomycetes; Eurotiales; Thermoascaceae. The record is from RNAcentral.
AUUGCCCCAGUAACGGCGAGUGAAGCGGCAAGAGCUCAAAUUUGAAAUCUGGCCCCGUCGGGGUCCGAGUUGUAAUUUGCAGAGGAUGCUUCGGGUGCGGCCCCCGUCUAAGUGCCCUGGAACGGGCCGUCAUAGAGGGUGAGAAUCCCGUCUGGGACGGGUGGCCGCGUCCGUGUGAAGCUCCUUCGACGAGUCGAGUUGUUUGGGAAUGCAGCUCUAAAUGGGUGGUAAAUUUCAUCUAAAGCUAAAUACUGGCCGGAGACCGAUAGCGCACAAGUAGAGUGAUCGAAAGAUGAAAAGCACUUUGAAAAGAGAGUUAAAUAGCACGUGAAAUUGUUGAAAGGGAAGCGCUUGCGACCAGACUCGCCCGCGGGGGCUCAGCCGGCACUCGUGCCGGUGCACUCCCCCGUGGGCGGGCCAGCGUCGGUUUGGGCGGUCGGUCAAAGGCCCCCGGAAUGUGUCGCCCUUCGGGGCGUCUUAUAGCCGGGGGUGCAAUGCGGCCAGCCCGGACCGAGGAACGCGCUUCGGCACGGACGCUGGCGUAAUGGUCGUAAGCGACCCGUCUUGAAACACGGACCAAGGAGUCUAACAUCUACGCGAGUGUUCGGGUGUUAAACCCGUCCGCGCAGUGAAAGCGAACGGAGGUGGGAACCCCCUCGCGGGGUGCACCAUCGACCGAUCCUGAUGUCUUCGGAUGGAUUUGAGUAAGAGCGUAGCUGUUGGGACCCGAAAGAUGGUGAACUAUGCCUGAAUAGGGCGAAGCCAGAGGAAACUCUGGUGGAGGCUCGCAGCGGUUCUGACGUGCAAAUCGAUCGUCAAAUUUGGGUAUAGGGGCGAAAGACUAAUCGAACCAUCUGGUAGCUGGUUCCUGCCG